CCUACGGGUGGCAGCAGUGAGGAAUAUUGGUCAAUGGACGAGAGUCUGAACCAGCCAAGUAGCGUGAAGGAUGACUGCCCUAUGGGUUGUAAACUUCUUUUAUAUGGGAAUAAAAUGUUCCACGUGUGGGAUUUUGUAUGUACCAUAUGAAUAAGGAUCGGCUAACUCCGUGCCAGCAGCCGCGGUAAUACGGAGGAUCCGAGCGUUAUCCGGAUUUAUUGGGUUUAAAGGGAGCGUAGGUGGAUUGUUAAGUCAGUUGUGAAAGUUUGCGGCUCAACCGUAAAAUUGCAGUUGAAACUGGCAGUCUGGAGUACAGUAGGGGAGGGCCGAAUUCGUGGUGUAGCGGUGAAAUGCUUAGAUAUCACGAAGAACUCCGAUGGCGAAGGCAGCUCACUGGACUGAAACUGACACUGAGGCUCGAAAGUGUGGGUAUCAAACAGGAUUAGAUACCCUUGUAUC
Molecule: ribosomal RNA, 459 nt
Filed under: uncultured bacterium
Lineage: Bacteria
Description: partial 16S ribosomal RNA
Rfam family: Bacterial small subunit ribosomal RNA
Source: RNAcentral